ACGGAUCGACAGUAGAUCUUAGAGAGAAACAGGAGAACCUCGAGGCUUAGGGUUUCAGAGAAAACCCAAGAAAAUGAGAAGGCCUGGAACAGACUUGCUUUGAGUCAAAAAACGGACUCACAAAGCUAGAGAUCGCUGGGGGGAGGCCGAAAAUAGCUAUAAAACUCGAAUCGGAGGUCUUCUGAACUAGAGACCUUCAAGAUCUGGUUUUUAUCCUUGAAAGGAGGAGCCAUAUAAGGGAGUGGUGGGGGUGAUCAUAGGUUGUACAAGACUUGGGAAGCCAUAUUUUCCGGUAAGAUAAGCCGUCAAAUGGCCGGAGAUGGCUAAGGUUUGGAGAGGGAUUGAGAGAAUUUGAGGAUGAAGGGG
Molecule: long non-coding RNA, 366 nt
Filed under: Nicotiana benthamiana
Lineage: Eukaryota; Viridiplantae; Streptophyta; Magnoliopsida; Solanales; Solanaceae
Description: long non-coding RNA (NBEN_LNC011480)
Source: RNAcentral